Molecule: long non-coding RNA, 832 nt
Organism: Lolium perenne
Lineage: Eukaryota; Viridiplantae; Streptophyta; Magnoliopsida; Poales; Poaceae
Source: RefSeq, a predicted model, not a curated record
AUAGAAGGAUUGGUAUCUGAUGCUCAGUGCAUAAAUUCCUUCUAUUACAUUGCAGACUGUGUUAUCUUCAAAGCUUUGAGAGAAGAAAAUACUCUGUUCAGAUUCUCAGAUUUUAGUUGUCGUACCGACCUAUUCAUGUGCUCAUGUUUUUUUUAUGUUAUUUAGAAAAAAUGAAUCCAUCUAAAUGCUACUGUGGUAAGUUCCUGAACAUUAUUCAGUCUCAAAAUUUCCAUUGAUAUAUCCAUUAUAGGGGCUAAUCAUCUGGAAUCUUUUGCACAAAUAAGACUAUGUUUAUGCAGCCUAUCCAACCUUCUAUCCACUACCGCCUGCAGUCAAGAUUCUCAGAUUUUAGUUGUCUGUACUAUACCGACCUAUCCAUGUGCUCAUGUUUUUUUAUGCUAUUUAGAAAAAAUGAAUCCAUCUAAAUGCUACUGUGGAACAAGACCAUGUUUAUGCAGCCUAUCCAACCUUCUAUCCACUACCGCCUGCAGUUAUUCAGUACUAAAACUACUCACGGAAUGCCUCCAAUUUGUCACGGCAUGUCUACUUGGAGACACAAUGUGAUCAGUUCCUACUUGCAAGCACAAUGUGAUAAGUUUAGACAAUGCCUAGAAUGUGUUACAUGCAUUUCUUAUUAGUGAUGCACAUCAAGUCAAGGCAUAAUUGGAGUCCCAAAUUUUGCAUCUCACGUUGUUGUUAAAAAAUGUGACCAAUUAGUCUACUAAUUAAUACAAAACAUCUAUAGAUUGCCUGGUUUAAGUUCUGUCACUUUACUCAGCAUCUGUAUAAUGGCAUCUUUUCUUGCCUCUCCGGUAUUUUGUUUAUAUAUUGA